Oncorhynchus keta (chum salmon) is the source of this 652-nucleotide long non-coding RNA. RefSeq lists it as uncharacterized. NCBI's taxonomy places the organism in Eukaryota, Metazoa, Chordata, Actinopteri, Salmoniformes, Salmonidae. The record is from RefSeq and is a predicted model, not a curated record. The transcript has 3 exons.
UGGCUGGUAGACUGUCUACAAGGGUCCAUCUCACCUGAUAGACUGUCUACAAGGGUCCAUCUCAACUGGUAGACUGUCUACAAGGGUCCAUCUCACCUGGCUGGUAGACUGUCUACAAGGUUCCAUCUCACCUGGCUGGUAGACUGUCUACAAGGUUCCAUCUCACCUGGCUGGUAGACUGUCUACAAGGUUCCAUCUCACCUGGCUGGUAGACUGUCUACAAGGUUCCAUCUCACCUGGCUGGUAGACUGUCUACAAGGUUCCAUCUCACCUGGCUGGUAGACUGUCUACAAGGUUCCAUCUCACCUGGCUGGUAGACUGUCUACAAGGUUCCAUCUCACCUGGCUGGUAGACUGUCUACAAGGGUCCAUCUCACCUGGCUGGUAGACUGUCUACAAGGUUCCAUCUCACCUGGCUGGUAGACUGUCUACAAGGUUCCAUCUCACCUGAUAGACUGUCUACAAGGGUCCAUCUCACCUGAUAGACUGUCUACAAGGUUCCAUCUCACCUGAUAGACUGUCUACAAGGGUCCAUCUCACCUGGUAGACUGUCUACAAGGUUCCAUCUCACCUGAUAGACUGUCUACAAGGGUCCAUCUCACCUGAUAGACUGUCUACAAGGUUCCAUCUCACCUGGUAGACUGUCUACAAGG